UGGGGAAUCUUCCGCAAUGGACGAAAGUCUGACGGAGCAACGCCGCGUGAGUGAUGACGGUCUUCGGAUUGUAAAGCUCUGUUAAUCGGGACGAAUGGUUUGUGUGCAAAUAGUGCAUAGACAUGACGGUACCGGAAUAGAAAGCCACGGCUAACUACGCGCCAGCAGCCGCGGUAAUACGUAGGUGGCAAGCGUUGUCCGGAAUUAUUGGGCGUAAAGCGCGCGCAGGCGGACUAGCCAGUCAGUCUUAAAAGUUCGGGGCUUAACCCCGUGAUGGGAUUGAAACUACUAGUCUAGAGUAUCAGGGAGGAAAGUGGAAUUCCUAGUGUCGCGGUGAAAUGCGUAGAUAUUAGGAAGAACACCAGUGGCGAAGGCGACUUUCUGGACGAACACUGACGCUGAGGCGCGAAAGCCAGGGGAGCGAACGGG
RNAcentral lists this ribosomal RNA (429 nucleotides) under Verrucomicrobiota bacterium. Its description in RNAcentral is "Verrucomicrobia bacterium partial 16S ribosomal RNA". It matches the Rfam family "Bacterial small subunit ribosomal RNA", at positions 355 to 776 of the family's 1533-position model. The record is from RNAcentral. Lineage: Bacteria; Pseudomonadati; Verrucomicrobiota.